GUGGGGAAUAUUGGACAAUGGGCGAAAGCCUGAUCCAGCCAUGCCGCGUGUGUGAAGAAGGUCUUCGGAUUGUAAAGCACUUUAAGUUGGGAGGAAGGGCAGUAAGUUAAUACCUUGCUGUUUUGACGUUACCGACAGAAUAAGCACCGGCUAACUUCGUGCCAGCAGCCGCGGUAAUACGAAGGGUGCAAGCGUUAAUCGUAAUUACUGGGCGUAUAGCGCGCGUAGGUGGUUUUGUAAGUUGGAGGUGAAAUCCCCGGGCUCAACCUGGGAACUGCCUACAAAACUGCAUGACUAGAGUACGGUAGAGGGUAGUGUAAUUUCCAGUGUAGCGGUGAAAUGCGUAGAUAUAGGAAGGAACACCAGUGGCGAAGGCGACUACCUGGACUGAUACUGACACUGAGGUGCGAAAGCGUGGGGAGCAAACAGGAUUAGAAACCCGUGUAGUCC
Molecule: ribosomal RNA, 450 nt
Filed under: uncultured bacterium
Lineage: Bacteria
Description: partial 16S ribosomal RNA
Rfam family: Bacterial small subunit ribosomal RNA
Source: RNAcentral